RNAcentral lists this ribosomal RNA (483 nucleotides) under uncultured bacterium. RNAcentral's name for it is "bacterial SSU rRNA". It matches the Rfam family "Bacterial small subunit ribosomal RNA", at positions 30 to 507 of the family's 1533-position model. The record is from RNAcentral.
AUUGAACGCUGGCGGAAUGCUUUACACAUGCAAGUCGAACGGCAGCACGGGGCAACCUGGUGGCGAGUGGCGAACGGGUGAGUAAUACAUCGGAACGUGCCCAAUCGUGGGGGAUAACGUAGCGAAAGUUACGCUAAUACCGCAUACGAUCUACGGAUGAAAGCGGGGGAUCGCAAGACCUCGCGCGAGUGGAGCGGCCGAUGUCAGAUUAGGUAGUUGGUGGGGUAAAGGCUCACCAAGCCAACGAUCUGUAGCUGGUCUGAGAGGACGACCAGCCACACUGGAACUGAGACACGGUCCAGACUCCUACGGGAGGCAGCAGUGGGGAAUUUUGGACAAUGGGCGCAAGCCUGAUCCAGCCAUUCCGCGUGCAGGAUGAAGGGCCUUCGGGUUGUAAACUGCUUUUGUACGGAACGAAAAGCUUCUGGUUAAUACCUGGGAGUCAUGACGGUACCGUAAGAAUAAGCACCGGCUAACUACGUG